GAGUUAGCAGAUAUGACCUAAGGCUGCAGCCUCCCCUUCACAAGCCCAACAGUUGUGUCACCUGAGGUCACAAUGGGGUUCACGUUGUCACUCGGAGUCCUGGGGAUGCUGAAAUUCUGCCUGCCACUUCCCAGGCUGGGGACCAGCCGGCACAGCUCCUGAAGGACCCGCCAGCUCGCACAUUCCCCCACCAGAGAGACAGCAGCAGCCUGGGGAUAAAAUCUUAUCUUAGCAAAAACAUACUACUUGAUGCAACAGAGCUGAAUCCUCAGUGAAAGAAAACACAAAGCUGCCUGUAAUGUCUUAAUGCAUGCCUUGUAUAUAAAUACUAUUUUCCAAGCA
Molecule: long non-coding RNA, 342 nt
Organism: Cygnus olor (mute swan)
Lineage: Eukaryota; Metazoa; Chordata; Aves; Anseriformes; Anatidae
Exons: 2
Source: RefSeq, a predicted model, not a curated record